UACGUAGGUGGCAAGCGUUAUUCGGAAUUAUUGGGCGUAAAGAGCGCGCAGGUGGUUGAUUAAGUCUGAUGUGAAAGCCCACGGCUUAACCGUGGAGGGUCAUUGGAAACUGGUCGACUUGAGUGCAGAAGAGGGAAGUGGAAUUCCAUGUGUAGCGGUGAAAUGCGUAGAGAUAUGGAGGAACACCAGUGGCGAAGGCGGCUUCCUGGUCUGUAACUGACACUGAGGCGCGAAAGCGUGGGGAGCAAACAGGAUUAGAUACCCG
This 265-nucleotide ribosomal RNA is filed under the name uncultured prokaryote. RNAcentral describes it as "partial 16S ribosomal RNA". It matches the Rfam family "Bacterial small subunit ribosomal RNA", at positions 524 to 788 of the family's 1533-position model. The record is from RNAcentral.